UCCCUGGUGGCUCAGAUGGUAAAGCAUCUGCCUGCAAUGCGGGAGACACGGGUUCAAUUCCUGGGUUGGGAA
This is a transfer RNA of Ovis aries (sheep), 72 nucleotides long. It matches the Rfam family "tRNA". From Rfam's summary of the family: Transfer RNA (tRNA) molecules are approximately 80 nucleotides in length. Their secondary structure includes four short double-helical elements and three loops (D, anti-codon, and T loops). Lineage: Eukaryota; Metazoa; Chordata; Mammalia; Artiodactyla; Bovidae. The record is from Rfam.